This 253-nucleotide ribosomal RNA is filed under the name uncultured bacterium. RNAcentral's name for it is "partial 16S ribosomal RNA". It matches the Rfam family "Bacterial small subunit ribosomal RNA", at positions 524 to 776 of the family's 1533-position model. The record is from RNAcentral.
UACGUAGGGCGCAAGCGUUAUCCGGAAUUAUUGGGCGUAAAGGGCUCGUAGGCGGUUUGUCGCGUCGGGAGUGAAAACUCAGGGCUUAACCCUGAGCCUGCUUCCGAUACGGGCGAGCUAGAAUUCGGUAGGGGAGACUGGAAUUCCUGGUGUAGCGGUGAAAUGCGCAGAUAUCAGGAGGAACACCGGUGGCGAAGGCGGGUCUCUGGGCCGAUAUUGACGCUGAGGAGCGAAAGCGUGGGGAGCGAACAGG